Molecule: transfer RNA, 67 nt
Filed under: Marmota monax (woodchuck)
Lineage: Eukaryota; Metazoa; Chordata; Mammalia; Rodentia; Sciuridae
Rfam family: tRNA
About the family: Transfer RNA (tRNA) molecules are approximately 80 nucleotides in length.
Source: Rfam by way of RNAcentral
GGUUGUAGCUCAGUGGUAGAGUGCUCACCUUGGACGUGUGGGACCCUGGGUUCGAUCCUCAAUACCA